Molecule: non-coding RNA, 147 nt
Filed under: Paraburkholderia hospita
Lineage: Bacteria; Pseudomonadati; Pseudomonadota; Betaproteobacteria; Burkholderiales; Burkholderiaceae
Source: RNAcentral
CCGGCUGUUCCAUCAGCCGUUCCCUACCCAGACAUGCUGAGCCGGCAACAGCUUGGUGUGAAGCUCGGGGACAAUGUAACCGCCGAUCUUCGGUACGCUAACCCGCGAGGGACAGCGGAAUCUGCCAGCACAAGGGCGGAGAGGGGC